ACCAACACAACCCAACACAACAGUGUGAGUCAGUGUUAUAUUUAUAUAUAUAUAUGUUUUCUAACACCCUUUCUGAUUUCUUACUAUAAAGCUGUGUGGGUUAGGGUUAUCAGUUUGCAGAAAGAAAGAGGGAGAGAUAUUGAGAGCUAGCGGAGGAGGCUAGGGUAAUUUGGUGUAUGUUGGGGGGAAUGUUGGCUGGCUCGAGGCUUUCACAUGGAGGUUCUUCAUGUAAAAAGGAACUCUUGAGGCUUCGGACCAGGCUUCAUUCCCCUCAAACUUGUACACGUUCGAUUCAUUCAUGGAGAUAUAUAUUGUCUUCUUCAGGCCAGCCAGUUUAAUUCACAAUUAUUCAAAGUUUUGGGCUUCGAUGUGCAUGGUUAAUCUCGUGAAGGUUAGGUUGAGAGGAAUGUUGUCUGGCUCGAGGUCAUGGAGGUUGAUUCUCUAUGACACUUUUCCGGGGUCAAGUUUCAGUACAAGUACUGGAAAAGUUCAUAAUUUGAACCCUAAAUGAUUCUCGGACCAGGCUUCAUUCCCCCCAACCAACACUUGCUGCAGCUACUCAUGAUUCCUAGCUCCUUGUUCAUCUCUUGCACCAUUCUUCCUGCACAAUUAAAUGGGAGAAACGUUCCUGGUACCGAGGCUUCCCUUUGAUUUGAUCUCCAAUAUAUAAUGUGCAGAUUUGGUUUUCAGCUGAGCAUCCUUAUCGAUCGCAGCAGUUUUGUUUGAGGAUGAUCACCAAGAUGCAUCCCCUGGCCUUUUCCAGUCUUCCUCUUGCAAAAGAAUUAAAUAAAAUAGUUUGAUCGAUUAAAGCUAGCAUUGAAUCAGAAAUUUCUCAGUAAAUUACUAUACAUAUCCUUCCAAAACCAAAUAUUGUGAAAAAUAAAACCUAUUACCCACGUACGUUCUGAAUUCUCUUUUUCUCUUCAAGUCCCUCAGUUGUGCUCGGGGGAAAAAAAUAGUUCCACACUUGUAAGUACAUCAUGUCACGCACAAUCUCUCUCUCACGCACGCGCACAAACGGAGAGAAACCCACCUAUCUAAUCUUGAAUUAAGACUUUAAAAUGGGAUUUAAUUGUCCAAACUCUAUACCAAAAGGUCAGUUUCUAUCACCCCGGAAUGUUCAUUUCACUUGGACAAGAUGGUAUGCACAGUAAGACCUAUAAGAUGUGAAAUUGUUGCCAGCAACAGCUAGAUCUGGGUGUAGGUUUUCUAGGGUUUCGAAACAGCAGAUCCACAAAUAGAGUAUGAUAUAUCUUUACUUUGUUCUUAAAUAUCCCUAAGACAGCCCUACAUCUAAAAGUAAAAUGAAAAAGAAAGACGCGCAUUAUCUGAUGCAAGCUAGGAUCAGCAUUUUACCUGAGAGGGUCAUGUACUGAUCAGAGGGUAAGUUUCAUGUUUAACUUGGUAUAUAUAUAAUAUAUAUAUAUAUAUAUUUAAAAAUAACAGAUAAUUCCAUCCGUACGUUCACAUGCACCAGGAUGAGAAUUGGCUACUAAAAUGAUUAGAGAUGAUGAUGUGAUCUGAAACACAAGUGGAAAUGCUGUUCAAUUUCUUAUCCCUCGUUCUGGAAUUGUUAUAUUUGAUAUAAUAAGAAAUGAUAUUUGUAGUUGUGGUUGUGCAAGUGGCGUGCAGUCACUUUGAAAAAAAUAAAUUAAUAUGGGACUCACGUAAAAAAAAACUAAUUUUUUAAUCGUGAAUCUACUCUUUUUUAAAACGAUUGCGCGAUGUUUACAAUUUCACGACUAUAUGUAGUAUUGCUCUUGAUAUAAUAUAAACGCUGCGCGUUAAAGAUUUGUGAAUAGGUACUCAUGACGUAUUGGGAAGUAAAAAAAUUUUUUUUUUAUGCAUGGUAACACAAUAUUAGUACUCAUUGAAGCUGCUGAAACAUCUGGAAGAAUAAAAUAUUGGAAGAAGUCAAAGGAUGCCAUAGAUGCCAGAUUUUGAGACAAUUAACGAGAAAAGAAAAGAAGCGAGAAUUUCUCGCUCACAACUGCGUGCAUUUGUAGAGAUGGUCUCUCUACUAGGAUUAAUGCUUAUCAUAAUCAUUAUCGUCCAAUCUUGCCACAAUCAUGAUGACCCAGAUACCUGCAUAUUCGAGGCGAACUAAACCUGGAAAAGAGAAGCCUGAAGGAGUGUUACUAUUUGUGUGAUUUAGUUUAUGCAUUUAUGAGGCUUUUGAAGUUGUUGAAAAAUCAGUUACUAUCCUUGGAAAAGUUCGGAUCAGCAAUGGUGCCCUUGGCAUCUCGAUCUCUUCUGAUCUUUCGUGGAGAGUCAAUAGUACAGAUUUUUGUAAGCUGUUGAAAAGCCAACGUCAACAAAAGUUUAGAGAAAGGAGAGUAAAUGACGACUAUCUGACGCUUCUUGGGAAAUGAAACGUAGGAGACAGACUCGGGUAUCGGUUCAUGACAAACUUGGUGUCUUAAAGAAGGGAAACCAUCACCUUUUUCUGUUGGCAGCUUCAUCGUGUAUUUAUUAUCGAUUCAACAGCUAGCUAGCCUUCUCCUUUCUCUUUUUCCUCUUUUUCUUGCCUUUUUUUGGGGGUUUCUUUAUAAAUAAACGACUGUUGUUUUCAUCACAAUGGUGAAAAAUGAGACCAUUCUGGUAUUCACAAGUUA
Molecule: long non-coding RNA, 2615 nt
Organism: Carya illinoinensis
Lineage: Eukaryota; Viridiplantae; Streptophyta; Magnoliopsida; Fagales; Juglandaceae
Exons: 2
Source: RefSeq, a predicted model, not a curated record